Molecule: long non-coding RNA, 2402 nt
Filed under: Panax ginseng (ginseng)
Lineage: Eukaryota; Viridiplantae; Streptophyta; Magnoliopsida; Apiales; Araliaceae
Description: long non-coding RNA (PGIN_LNC004861)
Source: RNAcentral
UCUUGCAUCUUUGAACCUGUAAAUAAAAGAAAAUAUAUGUAUAUUAGAUUUAUUGAUAUAUAACUCAUAAUAUUGAAUAAAAGAAAUGAUCAAACCUUGGAUUGUAUGACAAUCAUCAUCUAAACUUGAAGAUGAUGUUGCACCUUCAUUGUUGGGAGAAUCUCUACAUAAAAGCCAAAAUAACACUCAUCAUUUAAAGAUUGAGAUAUCUAAAAAAAUUUACUAUUACUUAAAUAUUACUUACCGAUGUGCAACUAUUGGACAAUUCCUUUUGUCAUGUGAUUCUCCAACUUUCCCACAACCAUGACAACGUCUACCUUUUGAGUUCUUUGCCUUUCAUAAUGACCUUUCUUUCCCUCCUUGAAGUCUUUUGCCACAUCCUUUUGCCCUCACUUGAUUUUGUUCAUUGUACAUAUGGUCUUUAUUGCAACUCAUCUUCCUAGAGACUACACUUGCACCAGUUCCACAUUGUGAACUUUUACCACUAUCUGUAACAAGAUUGAUUGAUUUGAGUGCACGAGCCAAAGCAUCUUUAUAAAUAUUAAUUCCUUCUUGGUUUGUGAGGGCGUUAUUAAUAACAUCCAAAGAACAUUGAAUUAAUUCACUCCGCUUGAUGACACUAUUUAUCAUUAUGCCACUUUCAUUAUCAACGACUAUCACGGAGUUUGACUUCUUAGUCCACCUUUUCAAGAUGUAUUGUUGGGGUAAUUCAUCAAAAUCAUGCAUUAUGAGCAAGUAACCAAGCACAUGUCUACAUGGUAUGCCCAUACUCUCAAACUUGUGGCAACUACAUGAAGUAAAAUCCAAUCCUUUGUCAUAAAUAAGUUGUCGCACUCUACGUGUUAACAUUUUUUCUAUGAACUUGAAACAUGCAUUGAUUUUCACUCUCCUUGAUAAGCUCAAAACGGUAAUUCAAGCAUUCCUAUAUCUCAUCUUAAAAUUUAUAAAACAUUUCUCGAGUAUAAAUUUCAACCAUUUGGAACACAAAGUCAUGAUUCAUCUUCACUUUAGGCUUCUCAAUCAAAUCUUUGUGAUCAGCCAACAACUCUUCUUGACGUUGGCGUACUCACCCUCUAUUAAAUUGGAUCAUGAAAUCAACUAAUGAAUUAUUCUUAGAAACAUAUCUUUUGAAAAAAGAGUGAGAGCUUUCCGCUCGUUGGCUACUUGACAUAUUGGCUGAGAAAACAUGAUUACAAUAAGUUGGCACCUAAUUUUUACGAAUGCCAUACAUUAUUUGUAACCAUUUCUUGUCAUGUAACCCUCUCCUCCCAACAAGCUCUGUCCAUGUCAAAUCAAACUCUUCUUUAUACUCUGAAAUCCAAAUACAAUCGGCAAAUUCAUUAUAGUGAGCAUUAUACUUCAUCGAGUCUAUAUUUUCUGAAAAUUUUGUCAACAUGUGCCAACUACAGAAUCUAUGAAAAGUAUCCAGAAGAGUUUCUAAUAUUUCUUUGGACAUCGCGAGAUCUUGAUCAGUAAUGAUCAUUUUAGGGGCAUCACUUGGCAUAGCCUCUAAAAAUUGGUUUAAUAGCCAAACAAAAGAAUCCGAGGUCUCGUCACUUAAGAAUGCACAAGCAAAAAUUAUGGUUUGACCAUGUUUGUUAACUCCCAUUAGUGGUGCAAAAAUCAUCCCAUAUCGAUUGGUGUUGUAUGUAGUAUCGAAGACGACUAUAUCACCAUAAAAACUAUAUGCCCUUCUAGAGGUAGCAGCAGCCCAAAAACAAUGUGUUAUCCUCUGUUCAUUAUCGACCUUAAUUUUAUAAGUGAAUGAUGGAUUCUUACCCUUUUAUAAUUUGCAAACCUCACUAAACAUUUCUUCGUUAUGCCCCUUCAACUCAUUAUGUAUAUCCCUUUCAUAAUUAUAUAAAUAUGUUUGUGUACAACCAAUGUUUUCAAACCCUCCAGCAUGUACUCCAAGGAAAUUGAGUUGUUGAUAUGAGGGUAUAUUUAUCAUGGAAAGUUGUUGAGUCAAACACUUUUGCACACUUGAAACACUUCGGUGAGAUCUUAAUAGAUAUUUCUUUGAUGGAGUUGCCAGACUACAUAAGCCUCAGAAUUUAUUUUCAACACAGCUACCAUUGCUUUACAACUCUCUUUUAUCGAUCCCUGAUGCCUUUUAGUUUCAACAUCCACAAUUGUUAUUCCCUUACCUUGUUUAAAACAGACAUACUCUUUCUUUUUGACUUCAUCACUUCCUUCAAAUUUCUUAGUAGCCCAACUUCGAAUACUAAAUCUCGUCUCUUUAGCAUAUGCAUUGUAAAAAUCCCUAACUUCAUCUAUUGUUUUGAAUUCUUUUCCAACACUAGGUUUGAAAUGGCCGGCUACUUGCGGAUUAUAAAUAAAUUUUCCCUACCUUCAUCACUCUCCCCUUCAAUUCUCUUAUUCUCUACUUCCUUUUCAUUAUU